GACGAACCGAGCAAACGUUAUUCGGAAUCACUGGGCUUAAAGGGCGCGUAGGCGGGUAUUCAAGUCCGUGGUGAAAUCCGGCAGCUCAACUGUCGAACUGCCGCGGAUACUGGGUAUCUCGAGGGAGGUAGGGGCGUGCGGAACUAUUGGUGGAGCGGUGAAAUGCGUUGAUAUCAAUAGGAACUCCGGUGGCGAAGGCGGCACGCUGGACCUCUUCUGACGCUGAGGCGCGAAAGCCAGGGGAGCAAACGGG
RNAcentral lists this ribosomal RNA (253 nucleotides) under uncultured bacterium. Its description in RNAcentral is "partial 16S ribosomal RNA". It matches the Rfam family "Bacterial small subunit ribosomal RNA", at positions 524 to 776 of the family's 1533-position model. The record is from RNAcentral.